RNAcentral lists this ribosomal RNA (772 nucleotides) under uncultured bacterium. RNAcentral describes it as "bacterial SSU rRNA". It matches the Rfam family "Bacterial small subunit ribosomal RNA", at positions 8 to 796 of the family's 1533-position model. The record is from RNAcentral.
AGAGUUUGAUCCUGGCUCAGGACGAACGCUGGCGGCGUGCUUAACACAUGCAAGUCGAGCGAGGCCUCCUUCGGGGGGUGCCUAGCGGCGAACGGGUGAGUAACACGUGGGCAACCUGCCCUCAGCUCUGGGAUAACUCCAAGAAAUUGGUGCUAAUACCGGAUGUGACCGCUGACCGCAUGGUCUGGUGGUGGAAAGAUUUAUCGGCUGAGGAUGGGCCCGCGGCCUAUCAGCUUGUUGGUGGGGUCACGGCCCACCAAGGCGACGACGGGUAGCCGGCCUGAGAGGGUGACCGGCCACACUGGGACUGAGACACGGCCCAGACUCCUACGGGAGGCAGCAGUGGGGAAUAUUGCGCAAUGGGCGAAAGCCUGACGCAGCGACGCCGCGUGAGGGAUGACGGCCUUCGGGUUGUAAACCUCUUUCAGUAGGGACGAAGCGCAAGUGACGGUACCUACAGAAGAAGCACCGGCCAACUACGUGCCAGCAGCCGCGGUAAUACGUAGGGUGCAAGCGUUGUCCGGAAUUAUUGGGCGUAAAGAGCUCGUAGGCGGUCUGUCACGUCGGCUGUGAAAACCCGAGGCUCAACUUCGGGCCUGCAGUCGAUACGGGCAAACUAGAGUACUGCAGGGGAGACUGGAAUUCCUGGUGUAGCGGUGAAAUGCGCAGAUAUCAGGAGGAACACCGGUGGCGAAGGCGGGUCUCUGGGCAGUAACUGACGCUGAGGAGCGAAAGCGUGGGGAGCGAACAGGAUUAGAUACCCUAGUAGUCC